This 34-nucleotide non-coding RNA is filed under the name unclassified sequences. The record is from RNAcentral.
CUCUGGUUCCACAUGAGUUCCAGGGCGGAAAGAG